This 77-nucleotide transfer RNA is filed under the name Candidatus Cloacimonadota bacterium. RNAcentral describes it as "tRNA-Pro". It matches the Rfam family "tRNA". Rfam says of the family: Transfer RNA (tRNA) molecules are approximately 80 nucleotides in length. Their secondary structure includes four short double-helical elements and three loops (D, anti-codon, and T loops). Further hydrogen bonds mediate the characteristic L-shaped molecular structure. tRNAs have two regions of fundamental functional importance: the anti-codon, which is responsible for specific mRNA codon recognition, and the 3' end, to which the tRNAs corresponding amino acid is attached (by aminoacyl-tRNA synthetases). tRNAs cope with the degeneracy of the genetic code in two manners: having more than one tRNA (with a specific anti-codon) for a particular amino acid; and 'wobble' base-pairing, i.e. permitting non-standard base-pairing at the 3rd anti-codon position. RNAcentral also lists the same sequence under 1 other name. Lineage: Bacteria; Pseudomonadati; Candidatus Cloacimonadota. The record is from RNAcentral.
CGGGAUGUAGCGCAGUCCGGUAGCGCGCUUCGUUCGGGACGAAGAAGUCGCCGGUUCAAAUCCGGCCAUCCCGACCA